RNAcentral lists this ribosomal RNA (235 nucleotides) under uncultured bacterium. Its description in RNAcentral is "partial 16S ribosomal RNA". It matches the Rfam family "Bacterial small subunit ribosomal RNA", at positions 99 to 334 of the family's 1533-position model. The record is from RNAcentral.
CGAACGGGUGAGUAACACGUGAGUAACCUGCCCCGAAGACUGGGAUAACGACCGGAAACGGUCGCUAAUACCGGAUACCCCCAUUGGAUCGCAUGGUCCGAUGAGGAAAUGAAUUUCGCUUCGGGAGGGGCUCGCGGGCUAUCAGCUUGUUGGUGGGGUAAUGGCCCACCAAGGCUGCAACGGCUAGCUGGUCUGAGAGGACGACCAGCCACACUGGGACUGAGACACGGCCCAG